UGAGGAAUAUUGGUCAAUGGGCGCUAGCCUGAACCAGCCAUGCCGCGUGCAGGAAGACGGCCCUACGGGUUGUAAACUGCUUUUCUGCAGGAAGAAUAUAUUUUCUUAGGGGGAUAUUGACGGUACUGCAGGAAUAAGCAUCGGCUAACUCCGUGCCAGCAGCCGCGGUAAUACGGAGGAUGCAAGCGUUAUCCGGAUUCAUUGGGUUUAAAGGGUGCGCAGGCUGUAAAGCAAGUCAGUGGUGAAAGCCCUGGGCUUAACUCAGGGAUUGCCAUUGAAACUGUUUUACUAGAGUGUAGUAGAGGACGGCGGAAUGAGUUGUGUAGCGGUGAAAUGCAUAGAUAUAACUCAGAACACCUAUUGCGUAGGCAGCUGUCUAUACUACAACUGACGCUGAGGCACGAAAGCGUGGGGAGCGAACA
This 422-nucleotide ribosomal RNA is filed under the name uncultured bacterium. RNAcentral describes it as "bacterial SSU rRNA". It matches the Rfam family "Bacterial small subunit ribosomal RNA", at positions 355 to 774 of the family's 1533-position model. The record is from RNAcentral.